GCCCGGGUGGUGGAAUGGCAGACACACAGGACUUAAAAUCCUGAGGUCCCUAGGAUCGUGCGGGUUCGAGUCCCGCCCCGGGCA
This 84-nucleotide transfer RNA is filed under the name Elusimicrobiota bacterium. RNAcentral's name for it is "Elusimicrobia bacterium (bioreactor metagenome) tRNA-Leu". It matches the Rfam family "tRNA". From Rfam's summary of the family: Transfer RNA (tRNA) molecules are approximately 80 nucleotides in length. Their secondary structure includes four short double-helical elements and three loops (D, anti-codon, and T loops). Further hydrogen bonds mediate the characteristic L-shaped molecular structure. tRNAs have two regions of fundamental functional importance: the anti-codon, which is responsible for specific mRNA codon recognition, and the 3' end, to which the tRNAs corresponding amino acid is attached (by aminoacyl-tRNA synthetases). tRNAs cope with the degeneracy of the genetic code in two manners: having more than one tRNA (with a specific anti-codon) for a particular amino acid; and 'wobble' base-pairing, i.e. permitting non-standard base-pairing at the 3rd anti-codon position. The record is from RNAcentral. Lineage: Bacteria; Pseudomonadati; Elusimicrobiota.